Molecule: ribosomal RNA, 444 nt
Filed under: uncultured bacterium
Lineage: Bacteria
Description: bacterial SSU rRNA
Rfam family: Bacterial small subunit ribosomal RNA
Source: RNAcentral
UGAGGAAUAUUGGUCAAUGGACGCAAGUCUGAACCAGCCAUGCCGCGUGAAGGAUGAAGGCCUUCUGGGUUGUAAACUUCUUUUAUGUGGGAAGAAACCCCUGAUUUCUAUUAGGGUUGACGGUACCAUAGGAAUAAGCACCGGCUAACUCCGUGCCAGCAGCCGCGGUAAUACGGAGGGUGCAAGCGUUAUCCGGAUUCACUGGGUUUAAAGGGUGUGUAGGCGGGUAUUUAAGUCAGUGGUGAAAUCUCCAGGCUCAACCUGGAAACUGCCAUUGAUACUAUAUAUCUUGAAUUCUGUUGAGGUGGGCGGAAUAUGUCAUGUAGCGGUGAAAUGCAUAGAUAUGACAUAGAACACCAAUUGCGAAGGCAGCUCACUAAGCAGACAUUGACGCUGAGGCACGAAAGCGUGGGGAUCAAACAGGAUUAGAUACCCGCGUAGUCC